CCCUUAGAUGUUCGGGGCCGCACGCGCGCUACACUGAAGGAAUCAGCACGUCUUUCUCCUUGUCCGAAAGGACUGGGUAACCCGCUGAACCUCCUUCGUGCUAGGGAUUGGGGCUUGUAAUUCUUCCCCAUGAACGAGGAAUUCCCAGUAAGCGCGAGUCAUAAGCUCGCGUUGAUUACGUCCCUGCCCUUUGUACACACCGCCCGUCGCUACUAUCGAUUGGAUGGUUUAGUGAGAUCCUCGGAUUGGUCCCGGAGCGGCCUCUGGUCGUGCCGGAGUGCCGAAAAGAAUGUCGAACUUGAUCAUCUAGAGGAAGUAAAAGUCGUAACA
This 330-nucleotide ribosomal RNA is filed under the name uncultured eukaryote. Its description in RNAcentral is "partial 18S ribosomal RNA". It matches the Rfam family "Eukaryotic small subunit ribosomal RNA", at positions 1470 to 1796 of the family's 1831-position model. The record is from RNAcentral.